AUUGAACCCAGGGACACUUAACCACUGAGCCACAUCCCUAGCCCUUUUUAAUAUUUUAUUUAGAGACAGGGCCUCGCUAAGUUUCUGAGGAUGGCUUUGAACUCAUGAUCCUCUUACCUCAGCCUUCUGAGUCACUGGGAUACAGGUGUGUGCCACUGCACCUGGUUCCAGUAACUUUGGUGACAUAAAAACAUCUGCUUGAAUGACCCCUCCCUCCAUGGCAGGCAGUUCUGGGGCCGAGUGACUCCAGCAGCUUGGCUCAGCCCUCACUCUCCGCUCUCUCCAUCCUCCUUCCUACCUCUGUCCCCUGCGGGUCCUGAGUUCAGAGUCUUGGGAAAUCCCAGGUGUCAGUCCUUGGUGACAGGCUCAGAGCAUAGACACCAGUCCCCAUAUCCUCCCAAGCAUGCCAGCCUUGCUCCCCCUUAGAAAGGUUCACACUUGAGACUGGCACUGCUGGGUUCCAAUCCUGGCUCUAUCAGCCAAGUGAUUAGGGACUUUUCCAUAGUUCCCUGAAAGUCUCACUUCAAUUUCCUUAUCUCUAAAACGGGAUGGAAACAAACGAUGGCCUCACAGUGGACUGGAGUGUCAUCCCAUUGAGGCUGACACAGGAGGAUUACAAGUUCAAAGCCAGCACUAGCCUCAGCAACUUAGCAGGACACUGUCUCAACAUUUAAAAAAGGACUGGAAAUGUGGCUAGGUGGUAAAGUCCAUCUGGGUUCAAUCCCUGGUACCAAACAACAACAACAACAACAAAGUUUUCAGAAUGGUCUUACGAACAUGGAGUGAGCUAGCCCUAGCAGCAUGUGUAGCCCUGGAAACUGUAGCUGCAUUUAUUAUUGCUGCCACUGUCACUACAGAAGGGAAACACACACACACACACACACACACACACACAGAAAGAAUUUCCUGAGCCUGGGAUGCAGUUUGGAUGUAGCAGGACCUGGCGUUUUACCCUGCAGUGGAAUGCCCAAUGCUGAUUGAGUCCUGGAACCCAGCAACCCACUGCCCCAAAGGGCACUGCCCACCCUCCAGAUGCGGCAGAUGACAGAGAGCUUGAUUCCCUCUGCCAACCUUAACAUUUCCU
Molecule: long non-coding RNA, 1084 nt
Filed under: Marmota monax (woodchuck)
Lineage: Eukaryota; Metazoa; Chordata; Mammalia; Rodentia; Sciuridae
Source: RNAcentral